RNAcentral lists this non-coding RNA (161 nucleotides) under Physcomitrium patens. Its description in RNAcentral is "rRNA SSU_rRNA_eukarya". It matches the Rfam family "Eukaryotic small subunit ribosomal RNA", at positions 1667 to 1823 of the family's 1831-position model. The record is from Rfam by way of RNAcentral. Lineage: Eukaryota; Viridiplantae; Streptophyta; Bryopsida; Funariales; Funariaceae.
CACCUCUCGUCGCUCCUACCGAUUGAAUGGUCCAGUGAAGUUUUUGGAUUGCAGCGAUGCUGGCGGUUUGCCGCCAGUGAUGUUGGGAGAAGUUCAUUAAACAUUAUCAUUUAGAGGAAGGAGAAGUCGUAACAAGGUUUCCGUAAGUGAACCUACGGAAG